GAUGAAGAACGUAGCGAAAUGCGAUAAGUAAUGUGAAUUGCAGAAUUCAGUGAAUCAUCGAAUCUUUGAACGCACAUUGCGCCCGCCAGUAUUCUGGCGGGCAUGCCUGUCCGAGCGUCAUUUCAACCAUCAAGCCCCGGGCUUGUGUUGGGGACCUGCGUCCGACGCAGGCCCCGAAAACCAGUGGCGGGCUCGCUGUCCACACCGAGCGUAGUAGCUAACCUCGCUCCGGAGUGGCGCGGGCGCCUGCCGUAAAACCCCCCAAUUUUACAAGGUUGACCUCGGAUCAGGUAGGAAUACCCACUGAACUUAAGCAUAUCAAUAAGCGGAGGA
This 333-nucleotide unclassified non-coding RNA is filed under the name soil metagenome. RNAcentral describes it as "partial contains 5.8S ribosomal RNA, internal transcribed spacer 2, and large subunit ribosomal RNA". The stretch from base 1 to 120 matches the Rfam family "5.8S ribosomal RNA", at positions 35 to 154 of the family's 154-position model. The record is from RNAcentral.